GGAGCUCAAGGGCAGGCAUGCUGGCUUAAUUAUAUCCAUAUUCACAGUACCUGUUGUCUAGCAUGUGCUGUUCAACAGAAAUGAAAUGUGAGCCAUAUGUAAUUCUAAAUUUUCCAGUGGUCACAUUAAAAACAGCAAACAUAAGUAGGUGAAUUCAAGUUUAAAAGUGCAUUUAUAUCCAAGUGGCUCAUAUCUAUAAUGCCAAUGAUUUGGGAGCCUGACACAGGAGGAUCACAAGUUCAAGAUCAACCUCAGUAACUUAGCAAGACCCUGUCUCAAAACAAAAAAGGCUGGGGAUGUGUGUCAGUGGUUAAGCACACCUUGGUUCAAUCCCUGGUACAAAAAAAGACAUUUACAUUACUUUUUCUUUUUGUCAAUACUGAGACUUUGAGUUAUGAUGUAUAUUUUAUGUGUAUCCUAAUUUAUAUUAGCAUUUCAAAUGCUCAGUAGACAUUUUUGGCUACUGGCUACUAUAUUGUAUAACAUAGACUAGGUGUUAUAUGAGGGCUGGGGAUGUGGCUCAAGCGGUAACGCGCUCGCCUGGCAUGCGUGCAGCCCGGGUUCAAUCCUGAGCACCACAUACAAAAAUGUUGUGCCCACCAAUAACUAAAAAAUAAAUAUUAAAAAAAAUUCUCUCUAAAAAAAAAAAAAAAAAAAAGUGUUAUAUGAGACUCCUCUAUCCUUAGGAUAUAAGAAGUGCUUUUGUGUGUGUGUGUGGUAUUAGGGAUUGAACCCAGGGCCUUGUGCAUGGGAGGCAAGCAUUUUACCAACUGAGUUAUAUCCCCAGCCCUUGUUUUGUUUUUUAGUAAAAAGAAAAAUUUAAAGGUUAAAUAACUUGUCCAAUGAGUGUCGGAACAAGGUUCAAACCCAGUGCUCUUUUGAAUUCUCUCAACCUAUGCCCCCUCUGUGAACAGAUGGAGGAAUCGGUAAGUUAAUUAGUAGUAAGCAGCACAUUUAUAAGGAUAUUAAGCCCUACCAUGAAUGCCUUGCUAUGUGAAGCAGAUUUUUUUUUUAAAGAAAGAGUGAGAGAGAGUAAGAGAAGAGAAUUUUUUUUAAUAUUUUAUUUUUUAAUUUUUGGCAGACACAACAUCUUUGUUUGUGGUGCUGAGGAUCGAACCAGGCCGCACGCAUGCCAGGCGAGCGCGCUACCACUUGAGCCACAUCCCCAGCCCCAAUGUGAAGCAGAUUUUUAAUAAGUAAAUACCAGAAAAUAUUUAGAAGUGAUUGAGAAAUAAACAUUAAGAUACACUUGAGAUAUCAUGGUAGAGUGAUUGCCUCACAUGCACAAGGCCCUGGGUUUGAUCCCCAGCACCACAAAACACCGAUUCAGAUUGCAGCCACCUUUAUAUUCUACCACCAGGCACAAAUGAGGAUCAUUCACUUAAAUUGUUUUUUGAGUUACUUAUACUGCAACCCCAUAGUCCUUUUAUGAGCAAAUUUUUGGGUGUGAUUAGAUAUGAAACAGAGACAGAGAGCCUUGUACUGGUCCAUUCAUCUUUUACAACAACUACAAACUGGUAGAGUGGACUGCAGACAGGCAAAAACCAACAGGAAAUGACCUGAGUAGGAAAUGCCCUGUCUUGUUUGACAGGCCUUCAGGAAGCCUGUGUGUUAGCACAGAAAGACCAGGACACCAAAAACUUCACAAAUCAGCUCAGCACUUUAUUCAGGAACGAAAUUUCACACAGGAGCAGGGGACACAGGGACGAAAUGACGCUGUGGUGGGACACACUUUCCAGUGGAAAAUGAGCCCCUGAACAAAGAGGGCCUGGGCUUAUAUAGGUUAUCCUGAGAGGUGGUCUAGUGGGAAUAUCAAUUUUCUUGGGCACCCAGGAAUUUGGGAUUUGUUCUAUCAAUCAGUGAAGGGGUCAGUGCUUACGAAUUUGAACUCUUGGGUCAGAGGUUUGUGUUCCAAAUCUAGAGAGGAUUUACUCUGAGGAAGGUCAAUGCCCCCAGAAGCUAUCACUUGAGGUGUGAUGAAACACCUCCUUGCUGCCUGCAGUUUGCAUCAGGAAAACAUUUGUAUUGGGGGCUGAAAGCUCUCAGUGUGCUUUUUCAUUGUCUUUUCUCAGGCUACAUUAUCUUGGAUUUUUCAUUUUCCCUAUUACUGUCCAUUCACUCUUUUUUCUUCUUUUUUUAAUUUAGUUUUUCAAUUGAAGAUGAACAUAAUACCUUUGUUUCAUUUUAUUAUUUAUGUAGUGCUGAGGAUCCAACCCAGUGCCACACAUGUGCUAAGCAAGCACUCUGCCACUGAGCCACCACCCCAGCCCUGUCCAUUCACUCUUUAAGUGACUAUCACUGGGCUCUGAGAUUGUCUGUAUGUACUAUCUGCUCUGUAGCUGCUAGCACAUAUGAGUUUCAAGGAACUGAAUUUUAGAUUUUUUAAAAAAUUUAAUUAAUAUUAAAUAAUAAGCUUUGUGUGUUUGGCUACAUGAACCUUAUUGGGUAACACAACCUUGUAGGAUGGGUGGAAUGUUUUCACUACUGUGUCUCAGCCUUGGGAUCACCACAGGCCUUGCACCCAGAGAGGAGAGUUAUUCUGUCAUUAGGACCCUGGGAAAGCCUGGCUGAGACCUUAUCUGGAUUCUCUGUGAGCUCACUGCACCUGGCUACCAUCUAACUUCCUAAUCAUAAUUCUUUCAAACUCUAGAGCAUAAACCAACAAUUAGCAUAUCUGGUUGUGGUUACUUUGAGCUCAGACAGCUGCCUUCGAGCUUCCUGUUUUCUGUUAUAAAGUGAAAUUUGGCAAUGCGGUGUCCCAUAGAACAUUGGUCUAUUGCUUUGAUAAUAUUAUGCUAAUUUGACCUAACAAGCAGAAUAGGCAUUACUUGAAACUUAAUAAAACACAUGCAUGCCAGAGGAUGAGAAAAAAUGUUGUAAAAAAUUCAAGGACCAACCACAUCCUUGAGGUUUUUAAGGGUCUGACAGUAGUCUGGUGUGUAUUGCAACAUCCACCACAAAGAAAGAGGCACAAAAAAAAAAAAAAAAGAGGCACAAAAUUUGAUGCUCUCUGAAGAGUUUGGAGGCAACAUAAGCCACAUGUGGAUAUGCUGCCCUAUGCAAUUAAUUUAUCAGGUAACUCAAGGACUCACAUUUUAUAAGGCUGCAAGUUAAGAUAAGGCUACACAACAGGCGUUGGCGGUGGUGCAAGCUGCCCGAGCCCUCCGGAAUCUGGGUUUCAAGAAGCCUCUUGAAAACCUGCUUUGCGGACAAUCCUCACAACCCCUCCCCAACCCUGAUGACAGUAUUCACCAUAUAAAAAGCAGCUUCAUAGCUUUCCACCGGCUUUGUCCUUAGGAAACAAAAUUGUGCAUCCUGAUCUGUCCUUUGUGAAUGGAGUGUCAUUUUCACAAAACUCUACAACUUGGACUGAGAAUGUAGCUCUGUAUAGAGUUUUUGCCUAACAUAGGUGAGGCCCUGGGUUUCCAUUAAGAAGAAAAAAAAAUUAUAAAACUAUUAUUUACAGCAGUAUUUCAUUGUUAAAUAAAAAUAGAAUAUAGGAGAAUUGCCCAAUCGGGUCUUAAAGGCAGAAUUGAAACAGAUAAGCAAGUAGCUAGCUCAGGAAUGACUAGUUAUUGCUUUAUUCCUUCUGCUUUGCUGACUUUCCCUCAGUCCUCACAUAUGCCUUUGUAGGAUCCAGCUUAGUGUGACAACAGCCAUCUUGGUUGUAACCAUAUCUUUGCCAGUAGGUGACCCUGGCACACAUUCCAGACCCUAUAGGAUAAACUGUUAGCCCCAAAGGACCAGGCAGGAUGCAGACUUCACAAAUCAGCAAAGCCUUUAUUCGGGAAUGGAGUGACACUUCUGAUGGACUCACUCUUAUGGUGGAAAUUGAGCCAAAGGGCGAGUUUAUGCUUCUGUGGAUUACACUGAGAGGUGAGUCAAUUAAUGAGCACAUCAGUUUGGGCUAUCUUUACUGGGCCAGGUGGAGGUUUGGGGGUCACUGGUCAGUAUCUGGGAAAGAAUUUGUUUAGGGAGGGAUCAAUGCUUUGGCCUCUUUCUAGAAACUGUCAUUUCAGACUUGAUGGAUAUCUCCUCCCUGGGGCCUGUCUUGUCAUUGGGAAAGAAUGUAUUGGGAAAGGAUCAAUUUGCCUUCUCCCUCAUUCCCUGUCCCUGGACCACAUUAUUUUGGAGCUUGACACUUUCCAUAUCCAACAUGAACGAAAUUGUUAAGACAAUCAGUGAAGCAUUUUGUGUUGCCCACUGACAUCUGGAAUAUUUAACUGAGGUUUGACAUGUUAAUAGUUUUUGAGAUGGGCUUGUGGCUCAAGGGUAGAGCACUCACCUCACAUGUGUGAAGCCCUGGGUUCAAUACUCAGCACCACAUAAAAAUAAAUUAAUUAAAUAAAAGCAUCAUGUCCAUCUACAAUUUAAAAAAUAGUUUUUGAGAAAGCCCAGGUAUAUACUGAUUGGCUGUGAGUCACCACCUUCAGCCUGCCUUGGAGUGUGAGGAUCCUCCCAUUCUGCUGCUGCUGAAGAAAUGCUUCUGUUCUUAAGUCCCUAAUAAAUUGCAUUUUGUGCAAUUUUGAAUAUUUCUACAUCUUUCUUUAGUUGCUCAGUACCUUCUGCCAUCAGCAGCAUGUUCUUUUUUUUUUUGUACCAGGAAUUGAAUCCAGGGAUGCUUAACCACUGAGCCACAACUCAAGCCCUUUUUUAUAUUUUGAGGCAGGGUCUCCUUGAGUUGCUUAGGACCUGGCUAAAUUGCUGAGGCUGGCCUUGAACUCAUGAUCUGCCUACCUUAGCCUCCUGAGCCACUGGGAUUACAGGUGUAUAUCAUUGUGCCUGAUGGCAGCCAUUUCAUACAAACUGGGUUUUAUUGAAAAAUGUAUCAUCAGUAGUUAACAGAAGAAGAGCAAGUGAGGUCCUGGUUUAUGCUGACUGAUGAACCCAGUCUAAUUCCAUUUUAAGAUUGGGAGCCAUCUUGUCAAAAAGUCAUGAAAAGUUAAUUUCUAUUUUACUAUAAAUUACUGAGAUUUCUAAACUUGUUUGGAAUUCCUGCCCGUGCCUUGAACUCACCCAUGCCUGGCUUUCUCUGAUCAGAUAACAACCCUCUCUAAAACCUUAGUGGCGCCUCAUAAAUCCUGGCUCCCCCUGACCAGAUAACAACCCUCUUUAAAUCCUUAGCCGUCCCUCAUAAAUUCUGAUAUUGGGAUCUGAAUUUAUUCCCUACCUUGAAAUGUUCAGCCAUGUAGAACAUUAACCUAUCUGCCUUUUUAUUAUGCUUGUCAAAAUCCUGUUAGCUGUAAGUUCUCAAGACACCCCUUUUGCUACUUUUUGUGCUAUAAAACCUAAUUUCUGAAGAGCUGGGGGCACUGGUCUCCCUAAGCUGCCCAGCUUAGGAAGAGACAGUCCUGGCCAGCUUUCUUUGUGUAAACAAUAUAAGCUUGCUUAAUUUUAUUUAAAAGUGGAGUCAGUGGUCUUUUCUUUGUUGUGGUUCAACACUGACUCCAGCCAGAAGCACUACACAGCCCCACUGAGAGGGGAUCAUAGUCAGUAAUGAGGCCAACUUCAUUAUAUCAUGUUACCAACAGGGGCAGAGCAGAAUAAUUCUUUUAAAUAGCUUUUGAUUUACCUCUACAAUAACAUCCCCAAAUGCCACAACUCUAGCUUUUUGUUUGUUUGGUUGGAUUUGUGGUACUUGGAAUUGAACACAGGGCCUCACUCAUGCUAAGUGUGUACUCUACCACUGAGCUACACCCUCUUCCCCCAACCUGUCCCCUGCCUUUCUUGGGGGUGAGUGUGCAGUGGGGAACUGCACACUCACAGACACUGAACUCACAGAUACUCAACCACUGAGUCACAUCCCCAGCCCUAUUUUUUGUAUUUCAUUUAGAAAAAAUGUCUCACUGAGUUGCUUAGCACCUUGCUUUUGCUGAGGCUGGCUUUGAACUUAGGAUGCUCCUGCCUCAGGAUGCUUUCCUGUGCUGCUGGGAUUAUAGGUGUUAGCUACCAGGCCUGGUUGCCCAUCCCCCUUUUCAUUGUUUUUUUUCCCCCCUAUAUUUCACAGCCUUUAUAACAGUAAUUUCCUGACUAAAUGAGAAGAAAGAUACUAAUUAAUUCAUCUUUACAGCAUCAACACACUGGCAUAAGGCAGAUGGGCAAAUCCAGCAUUAAACAACUUCCAGAACAUAAAUUGAGAUGCCCUAUCUGGCAUCCACUGAAGAUGAGGUUCUCAAUAAUCAGACAGACAAGAUUUCCAGCUCUAUGGAUAGCAGUCUGCCUUUCUCCAAAUAUUCUGGUGCUCAAUUAAAGGGAUAUGGUGUAGAUCAUCUUGGUGCAUACCUGUAAUCCCAGCUACUGAGGCUGAGGCACAAGGAUGACAAGUUUGAGGUCAGUUUGGACAACUUGGUGGGAUACUGCCUUAAAAUAAAAAAAAAAAUAAAAAGGCCUGGGGACGUGGCUUCAUGAGAGUGCCCCUGAGUUCAUUCUCAGUACGACAAUAAAAGGGGAGCUGUGGCUAGAGAUGUAGCUCAGUGGUAAAGCACCUUGGGUUCAACCCUCAAUAACCCUCCAAAAUAAGUUAAUAAAUAAAUGAAAUGGCAUGGCAACAGGGAAGGAGGCUCUGCAAGGACUUUCCCUAUUUACCAAAAGUUGUGUGGGUCCCUGAUAUACUCCACCAUUUUCCAGGGAUCCCGUGAACCAUUUGGUGGUAGACUUGGUAUAUUGGACCUUUUCCAUCAUGGAAGGAACAGUGAUUUGUCCUCUUGGGAUUAGAAACAUUCCAGAUAUGGGUUUGCCUUUCCUGCCUAAAAUUCUCCCAGCACUAAACAGAAGGUAUAUUCCAUAUAAAUCACCUCAGACAAGGAGCUUAUUUACAAUGAAGGACUUGAUGGAAUGGAAUGGGUGCUCACAGAAUUCACUAGCAUUGCCACGAGCCCCAACAACCCCAAAGCAUCUGGUUUGACAAAAUGAUGGAAUCGCCUGCUACAAACUCAGUGACUACUAGUCAAGGGAAAAUUACAGGAUUGGGAAGAUGCCUUAUAGGAUGAAUAUAUAAUUUGGCCCAGUGGCUGAUAUUUGAUGACAUCUCCCUCACAGCCAAAUACAUGAGCCAAAGAACCAAGGGUUGAGCUGGAGGUAAAGUUCAGUGGUAAAGCACAAGUCUUAUGUGUGUGAGAACAUGGAUUCAAUUCUGGGUACAAAAACACGCAUACACACACACACACACACACCCGAGUUAAAAGUUUGGAAUGGCCUCUUUUACUUUUCUUCCCUUUUUUAAAAAAUUGAGAUGUAGUUCAUAUAUACACAUAAAGUAUGAAGUGUGCUCUUCGGUCUCGGGCCUAAGUCGCGGCGACAUGGCUAAACGCACUAAGAAAGUCGGAAUCGUCGGUAAAUAUGGGACCUGCUAAGGUGCCUCCCUCCGGAAAAUGGUGAAGAAAAUCGAAAUCAGCCAGCACGCCAAGUACACAUGUUCCUUCUGUGGCAAAACCAAGAUGAAGAGACGGGCUGUGGGGAUCUGGCACUGUGGUUCCUGCAUGAAAACUGUGGCUGGUGGUGCCUGGACCUACAACACCACUUCUGCUGUCACAGUCAAGUCUGCAAUCAGAAGGCUGAAGGAAUUGAAAGACCAGUAGAAAGUUCUACCAUUUAGCAAAAUUGUGGUUUGUUUGUUAAUUGUAUUAACUGGAUGUUCUGAUGUGAAUUGCAUUAAUAUUGCCCUUUCAAAAGAUUUGUAAAUUGAAGCCCUUCUAAUUUGAAUUGGAAAAUUUUGCUAGAUGGGUUAUUGUAAUUCAGGUCUUUUUUCUUCAGUAAUCAGAUGAUAAUGGCAUGAACUAAGUCUUAUGGCUUAAUAUAUACUCAGCUUUUUUUUUUUUUUUUAAACACUGUUCAACUACUCCGAGAUACAUUGAUAUUGUACAAAAUUUGUUUUAAAGGUAAAAUAUGCUAAAAUACACAAAGGAUAUACAUAAAAAAAAAAGUAUGAAGUGUAUAAUUCAAGGCUGCUUUUGUAGCCCAGUGGUUGAGAACUUGCCUAGCAUUGUAUGGGGCCCUGGGUUCAAUUCGCAGCAUUAGAGGGAAAAAAAUAAAUAAACUACUUAAGUGUACAAUUCCUUGAUUAUUUUCUUAUUGUAAUAUAUUCACAAAGUAUAAGCCUAUCAGCACUAAUUCCAGAACAUUUUCAUGGCUUCCCAAACUCCAUGUCCAUUAUGGAUCUACUCUCCCUUCACCCACAUCUCGCCCAGGCCCUGACAACCACUAAUCUACUUUCUGUCUCUAUGGAUUUACAUACUGAGGACAUUCAAAAUGAAUGAAAUCAUAAUAUGUAUGUGGCCUUUUGCAU
Molecule: long non-coding RNA, 8284 nt
Filed under: Marmota monax (woodchuck)
Lineage: Eukaryota; Metazoa; Chordata; Mammalia; Rodentia; Sciuridae
Rfam family: tRNA (bases 4256-4324)
Source: RNAcentral